This 449-nucleotide ribosomal RNA is filed under the name uncultured bacterium. RNAcentral's name for it is "partial 16S ribosomal RNA". It matches the Rfam family "Bacterial small subunit ribosomal RNA", at positions 29 to 523 of the family's 1533-position model. The record is from RNAcentral.
AACGAACGCUGGCGGCAUGCCUAACACAUGCAAGUCGAACGAAGCCUUCGGGCUUAGUGGCGCACGGGUGCGUAACGCGUGGGAAUCUGCCCUUGGGUUAGGAAUAACAGUUAGAAAUGACUGCUAAUACCGGAUGAUGUCUUAGGACAAAAGUUUUAUCGCCCAAGGAUGAGCCCGCGUAGGAUUAGGUAGUUGGUGGGGUAAUGGCCCACCAAGCCGACGAUCCUUAGCUGGUCUGAGAGGAUGAUCAGCCACACUGGGACUGAGACACGGCCCAGACUCCUACGGGAGGCGGCAGUGGGGAAUAUUGGACAAUGGGCGAAAGCCUGAUCCAGCAAUGCCGCGUGAGUGAUGAAGGCCUUAGGGUUGUAAAGCUCUUUUACCAGGGAUGAUAAUGACAGUACCUGGAGAAUAAGCUCCGGCUAACUCCGUGCCAGCAGCCGCGGUAA